Molecule: transfer RNA, 76 nt
Filed under: Candidatus Finniella inopinata
Lineage: Bacteria; Pseudomonadati; Pseudomonadota; Alphaproteobacteria; Holosporales; Candidatus Paracaedibacteraceae
Description: tRNA-Glu
Rfam family: tRNA
About the family: Transfer RNA (tRNA) molecules are approximately 80 nucleotides in length. Their secondary structure includes four short double-helical elements and three loops (D, anti-codon, and T loops). Further hydrogen bonds mediate the characteristic L-shaped molecular structure. tRNAs have two regions of fundamental functional importance: the anti-codon, which is responsible for specific mRNA codon recognition, and the 3' end, to which the tRNAs corresponding amino acid is attached (by aminoacyl-tRNA synthetases). tRNAs cope with the degeneracy of the genetic code in two manners: having more than one tRNA (with a specific anti-codon) for a particular amino acid; and 'wobble' base-pairing, i.e. permitting non-standard base-pairing at the 3rd anti-codon position.
Source: RNAcentral
GUCCCCUUCGUCUAGAGGCCUAGGACAUCACCCUCUCACGGUGGGAACACGGGUUCGAAUCCCGUAGGGGGCACCA